RNAcentral lists this ribosomal RNA (425 nucleotides) under Kalotermes approximatus. RNAcentral's name for it is "partial large subunit ribosomal RNA". It matches the Rfam family "Bacterial large subunit ribosomal RNA", at positions 1783 to 2485 of the family's 2925-position model. The record is from RNAcentral. Lineage: Eukaryota; Metazoa; Arthropoda; Insecta; Blattodea; Kalotermitidae.
UGGAAUUCGCCCUUCGCCUGUUUAUCAAAAACAUCUCUUCUUGUUUUUUGAUUUGAAGUAUGACCUGCCCACUGAUGAUAUUGAAGGGCCGCGGUAUUUUGACCGUGCAAAGGUAGCAUAAUCAUUAGUUCUUUAAUUGUGAGCUGGUAUGAAUGGUUUGACGAGGUGCUAGCUGUCUUUAGUUUGGAUUUAUUGAAUUUGAUGUUUGGGUAAAAAUGCCUAGAUUUUUUUAUGGGACGAGAAGACCCUAUAGAGUUUUAUAUAAUAUGUUCUUUUUAGUUUGUUGUGUUUUGUGGGCUGUUUAUGUUUUGUUGGGGUGAUGGGAAGAUAGGUGUAACUCUUCUUUUUUAAUUUCACUUAUUUGUGUUUUUAUGAUCCUUUAUUAUUGAUUACAAGAUCAAACUACCUUAGGGAUAACAGCGUAA